Molecule: ribosomal RNA, 232 nt
Filed under: uncultured bacterium
Lineage: Bacteria
Description: partial 16S ribosomal RNA
Rfam family: Bacterial small subunit ribosomal RNA
Source: RNAcentral
UGAGUAACCUGCCCUUGACUCUGGGAUAAGCGUUGGAAACGACGUCUAAUACCGGAUACGAGCUUCAGUCGCAUGACUAGGAGCUGGAAAGAAUUUCGGUCAAGGAUGGACUCGCGGCCUAUCAGCUAGUUGGUGAGGUAACGGCCCACCAAGGCGACGACGGGUAGCCGGCCUGAGAGGGUGACCGGCCACACUGGGACUGAGACACGGCCCAGACUCCUACGGGAGGCAG